Molecule: ribosomal RNA, 439 nt
Filed under: uncultured bacterium
Lineage: Bacteria
Description: partial 16S ribosomal RNA
Rfam family: Bacterial small subunit ribosomal RNA
Source: RNAcentral
CUACGGGAUGCAGCAGUGAGGAAUAUUGCACAAUGGGGGGAACCCUGAUGCAGCAACGCCGCGUGGAGGAUGACACUUUUCGGAGCGUAAACUCCUUUUAUAUAGGAAGAAGAUGACGGUACUAUAUGAAUAAGCGCCGGCUAACUCCGUGCCAGCAGCCGCGGUAAUACGGAGGGCGCAAGCGUUACUCGGAAUCACUGGGCGUAAAGAGCGUGUAGGCGGAUUAAAAAGUCAGAAGUGAAAUCCUAUAGCUUAACUAUAGAACUGCUUCUGAAACUCUUAAUCUAGAAUAUGGGAGAGGUAGAUGGAAUUUCUGGUGUAGGGGUAAAAUCCGUAGAGAUCAGAAGGAAUACCGAUUGCGAAGGCGAUCUACUAGAACAUUAUUGACGCUGAGACGCGAAAGCGUGGGGAGCAAACUGGAUUAGAUACCCGGGUAGUC